UUCAUCAUCUGAAUUUGUAUCAGACAGUAUCCUCAAUGCAGCACCACGAGCAUCGAGUCUUGCAUCAUCAUCGGCACUUAAGCUGUUGCUGUGCCGGACUAUGACAGGAUAGUUUUUGCCAGAUCGAAAGAUUUUAUGGUCUGGAAAUCCUUUGAUGUUGUCAUAUAUUUUGAGCAUUCCCUUUCCACUAACACCAAUUCGAUGAAAGUAUCUUGUUUUCACCUUGAGAGUUGUUGCGGCUAAAUUCGCAGAUAGAUUGCCAACUAUCUUCUUGUAUUUCGUAUCCAUCUCUUCGAUCCUUUCAUCCAUCGCGUGAUGUGUGUUCUUUAUCAUGACCAGGGAUUGAUUUCCAACAUAAAUACCACCGCUACGAAGAACAGAAUUCAUCGGAGCAACUGAAAGUGCACCAAGAAUAACAUCUGUUUGAAUAAGUGAUCUUGGAAGGACAACACUUUGGCUCCCAACAACUGAAUUGUCUUGUACCUCAA
Molecule: long non-coding RNA, 488 nt
Filed under: Capsicum annuum
Lineage: Eukaryota; Viridiplantae; Streptophyta; Magnoliopsida; Solanales; Solanaceae
Description: long non-coding RNA (CANN_LNC000636)
Source: RNAcentral